This 120-nucleotide transfer RNA is filed under the name Leptospiraceae bacterium. RNAcentral's name for it is "tRNA-OTHER". It matches the Rfam family "tRNA". From Rfam's summary of the family: Transfer RNA (tRNA) molecules are approximately 80 nucleotides in length. Their secondary structure includes four short double-helical elements and three loops (D, anti-codon, and T loops). Further hydrogen bonds mediate the characteristic L-shaped molecular structure. tRNAs have two regions of fundamental functional importance: the anti-codon, which is responsible for specific mRNA codon recognition, and the 3' end, to which the tRNAs corresponding amino acid is attached (by aminoacyl-tRNA synthetases). tRNAs cope with the degeneracy of the genetic code in two manners: having more than one tRNA (with a specific anti-codon) for a particular amino acid; and 'wobble' base-pairing, i.e. permitting non-standard base-pairing at the 3rd anti-codon position. The record is from RNAcentral. Lineage: Bacteria; Pseudomonadati; Spirochaetota; Leptospiria; Leptospirales; Leptospiraceae.
GAGGCAGUAGCUCAGCGGUAGAGCAUCAGCUCCUAGCUUGAUGAUUGCCGGUUCGCCGGCCAAAUCAGGCUUACUUCAAUGUUAAUCUGACGGUCGCGGGUUCGAAUCCUGCCUGCCUCG